This 72-nucleotide transfer RNA is filed under the name Capra hircus (goat). It matches the Rfam family "tRNA". Rfam says of the family: Transfer RNA (tRNA) molecules are approximately 80 nucleotides in length. Their secondary structure includes four short double-helical elements and three loops (D, anti-codon, and T loops). Further hydrogen bonds mediate the characteristic L-shaped molecular structure. tRNAs have two regions of fundamental functional importance: the anti-codon, which is responsible for specific mRNA codon recognition, and the 3' end, to which the tRNAs corresponding amino acid is attached (by aminoacyl-tRNA synthetases). tRNAs cope with the degeneracy of the genetic code in two manners: having more than one tRNA (with a specific anti-codon) for a particular amino acid; and 'wobble' base-pairing, i.e. permitting non-standard base-pairing at the 3rd anti-codon position. The record is from Rfam by way of RNAcentral. Lineage: Eukaryota; Metazoa; Chordata; Mammalia; Artiodactyla; Bovidae. RNAcentral also lists the same sequence under 1 other name.
UCCCUGGUGGCUCAGAUGGUAAAGAAUCUGCCUGCAAUGCAGGAUACCUGGGUUUGAUCCCUGGUUUGGGAA